GCGGAGCUACAAAGAAAAGCCUGGGCGGGCCAAUCUAAAAAAACACGAAAAAAAUUCAACCCAAGGAAAGGAUGAUGAGCUGCUGCUGAAAAGUCUUCCUCAACUUAAUCUGUAACGUACAUCUCUUUUUUCACUUGAAAACCAAAUCGAUUUUGCAUUGAUCAGCCUUGCUACCCAGUGCCUAUGGAAAUUAUCUACUAUCCAAAUUAGGAUGUGUAUUAUCAAUUCACUGAAUUUCGGAGUGCUAUAGCCUACAUUUUAUAGGAAAAUUAGACUGCCUGGGAGAUGAGAGUUUGUGGGUUGUGCAUGUGCCUGUGCUAGUGCAGCAGCGCUCGUCGCCUAGGUCUGCACUUGCCGUCACCCGACUGGGCGCAGCCGCUGCUAGCUGCCGCCUGGGGCGUGGCCAAGCCACCGCGGCAUGGGUCGCCCUGGAGCAUCCGCAGUCCGCAUCGCUCUAGUUCUACGCUGCUACUCGCUGCGGCCGUCAGCUGGACCUUAAUUUGCGGCUCCGCCCCACCUCUCUCUAUCCCUCUGUGCAGCUGUACGUGUGGCUCGUGCCCUAGCAUGGAGGGCGACUGAGGCUGGAUGCAAGGAGAGAAGCCUGACGAGGCGAGACAGCAUGCGAGUGAGGUAGUCGUGGGCUGGCCUGCACGUAUAUAGCUAUAUUUUUACCUCAGCGGCUGGGCGGGCCAUGGCACGCUUUUGCCCUCACGACGCUCCGCCAGUGGUCUGCACCAUUCGAGCUAGCAUGUUUUGCACCAAGAAAUUAAAGUGCACAGUGUUUUUUCAUCAAAUAUUCAUCUAUAGGCGUAUGACCUUUAUUUUGUUUAUUAAAGGCAGAACCAAUUGGCAGGCGCAACAGCUGCACCAUUUAUGUAGGCAACCACCCUGCAGACAUUCUUAAGAGGGAGGUUGAGGAUAUCUUUUACACGGUCCAUAUUCAAUUUUGUGUAAUGAUUUUGGCAUUAGCUUUCCUUGUGGCUUUGGCAAUUAUGUAAAGAUAAUUGACUAUAUCACAAACUAAUGAAGUUUUUGACCAAGUUUUCACUGUAAGUUGUACAUAGUAAGGAAACUAUGCUAUAGGUUGCAGCUCAUUUACAAGGCAUUGUAAGGAAUUAAAAUCGAUUUAUUCAUGCCUUAAUUUUAUUUAUCAUUAUGCAGCAUAGACGUAUUGUGGAUAUUGACUUGAAGAUUCCUCCAUGACCUCCUGGUUAUGCUUUUCUUGAGGUUAGUAUUUUGUCAUGGUCAUGUAGAAUUUUCACUGUAAUGUGAGGCUUGUACUUAGAAUUUGUAAUAGAAGUCUUAUUGUUAUUAUUUGGGAUUCAAAAUAGUCUCUUAACUAUGUGUAUAAUUUUUGGGUUGAUAUAACUAAUGAUCUUUUUAGUCCGAGGAUCCUUGUGAUGCCGAUGAUUUAAUUUAUGGUCGUGAUGGGUAUGACUUUGAUGGCUACGGGCUGCGGGUAUGCAUGUAGUGCAUGUUGCCUUUUUUUUGCUGAAAGCAAAGACUGAUUUCUGGUGCCUGUUUUUUUAAAAGGUAUUUCUCAGGUGGAAUUCACAUAUCAUGGUAUUCCUGUAUCGCGCACAUAUUGUCAUAUCAUGGUAUUCUUAUCUUGCACGCAUAUCGGAUACAUAUUUGGAAGUAGCAAAAUGUACUGGUGGUAUAACUGCAUAUAUACAUGUAUUGUUCAUAUGCAUUGUAUGUUUCUCUAAUGUGUUCUUGUAAUAUAAUUGUUUUACAAGCACACAAACUGAGUUUCAGAUCUUUAUUUUAUAUAUAGGUCUUAGAUUUCAAUUAUAGGUCCUACAUUUUGAUUAAAAACACAAAUGUAGAGUUGUAGGGAUUUUUAGUUCUGGAUUAUUUACCUCUCAUGUCGUGGACUACAAAUAUUGUGGUUGGACGAGAACAUUUUUUUGUUGUAUUUUAAGUCAAUGCAGACUGUUGUAGUUUUGAUAUCAUGAUAUCUGUUUUGUAAACAACCUUCGAUAACCUAGUGUUUUUGCUUGGGUUGGAUAAAAGAUACUUCUGGCGUAUAGCAGAAAACCCUGCUUGAUCGAAUGCUCUUGAUUUGUUUUCUUUUCUGCUGAAGCCUACUAUUUUAUGUUGUGCUUGUUUCCAAAUUCCGUUUGACAUACCUUUACAGUGCGCUGAUUUCCAUAGCUGCUAAACGUUUCCUGUAAUAUACCCUUAUUAUCCUCUAGGCUUGGUAAGAUCGGAUCUCAGCCUAAUGCUAGAGCUCUCUUCAGAUGGUUUCGACAAUUGAGCCUGACUCGGGAUAUCAGUCCUGAAUCUUUAUUUUUUUCUCGUGAAAUACUUACAACUUGGCAACUUGGCACGAGCCGCUAUUGCCUUGCGCUCUUGAAGAUAGUUGGUGAUUUUUCACGUGGGGAUUUCUAACAAGCAAUGACUAUGCCAUCUUUAAAGUUUCUAUUUGUUUUCUAGAUUUGUUUGUAAUCCUCCUGCUGCUGCUGUCUCUCUAAUUUCUAGACUUAUGAGGUUGUUGUGAAUGGUCUGAUUACAAGGGAUGCUACACUGCCUUAUCAGUAUGAUGGUUUAUGAUAUGUUGGCGAGGCUGUGCAAGGUCCAUUGCAUGGCCAUCUAGCAAGGUAAACACCAACCAUGUAUUCAGUAUAUUACUCCGAAUACCUUGAUAAUUUGUGUAAUGACCCUAUGCCAUUGCAGAAGUUCUUGUCAACAUCCUGUUGGGAAGGAAAUGCAUAAAGAACCUAGUAUUCGGUUGUCCGCAUCAAUUGGAUGAUUUUGUAAUGGAGGACAUUCCUUGCUAUUUGGAGAUGCUGCAUCUUUAGCUUUCAUUUUGUAAAACUGGAUCUAUGUCGUGUCUUUUGACACUCAACCAACAUGUGUAAUGCACUUAAUUAUCUUUGUUUUUGUAGCAAUCUAGGUGUAGUGACUCAUUAGAACGAAUGAACUAUUUGUAUGUGUGAUGAUCUAAUGUAUGAUGCUAUCAUUUUUUCCGUUGUGUCCUUCUGGAUUUAAGAUUAUGCAUGUUG
This 3008-nucleotide long non-coding RNA is filed under the name Triticum aestivum (bread wheat). Its description in RNAcentral is "long non-coding RNA (TAES_LNC013988)". The record is from RNAcentral. Lineage: Eukaryota; Viridiplantae; Streptophyta; Magnoliopsida; Poales; Poaceae.